RNAcentral lists this ribosomal RNA (765 nucleotides) under uncultured fungus. RNAcentral describes it as "SSU rRNA". It matches the Rfam family "Eukaryotic small subunit ribosomal RNA", at positions 803 to 1591 of the family's 1831-position model. The record is from RNAcentral. Lineage: Eukaryota; Fungi.
UUUAGCAUGGAAUAAUGGAAUAGGACGCGCGUUCCCAUUUUGUUGGUUUCUGAGAUCGCCGUAAUGAUUAAUAGGGAUAGUUGGGGGCAUUUGUAUUCCGUCGUCAGAGGUGAAAUUCUUGGAUUGCCGGAAGACAAACUAUUGCGAAAGCAUUUGCCAAGGAUGUUUUCAUUGAUCAAGAACGAAGGAAGGGGGAUCGAAAACGAUCAGAUACCGUUGUAGUCUCUUCUGUAAACUAUGCCAAUUGGGGAUCAGCUCAGGAUUUUUAAUGACUGAGUUGGCACCCGAAGAGAAAUCUUUAAAUGAGGUUCGGGGGGGAGUAUGGUCGCAAGGCUGAAACUUAAAGGAAUUGACGGAAGGGCACCACCAGGUGUGGAGCCUGCGGCUUAAUUUGACUCAACACGGGGAAACUCACCAGGUCCAGACACAAUAAGGAUUGACAGAUUGAUAGCUCUUUCUUGAUCUUGUGGUUGGUGGUGCAUGGCCGUUCUUAGUUGGUGGAGUGAUUUGUCUGGUUAAUUCCGAUAACGAACGAGACCUUAACCUGCUAAAUAGACCAGCCGGCUUUGGCUGGCUGCUGUCUUCUUAGAGGGACUAUCAGCGUUUAGCUGAUGGAAGUUUGAGGCAAUAACAGGUCUGUGAUGCCCUUAGAUGUUCUGGGCCGCACGCGCGCUACACUGACAGAGCCAGCGAGUAAUAGCCUUUGCCGGAAGGCAUGGGUAAUCUUGUGAAACUCUGUCGUGAUGGGGAUAGGGCAUUGCAAUA